Bos taurus (domestic cattle) is the source of this 3353-nucleotide long non-coding RNA. The record is from Ensembl. Lineage: Eukaryota; Metazoa; Chordata; Mammalia; Artiodactyla; Bovidae.
CUUCCACCCACCGGGGUCAGCACAGGAGCCCGGCGUGUGCACAGAGGUCUGUGUUCGUGUACUCGGAUGUCCACAGGUGUCCCUGGAAGUUCACAGGUGUAUGGCCCCGUGCACUCGUGCUGCCCCGCGGGGGCCUUGCGGCCUGACGGCGGGUGAGAUGCCCGCGGCUGAGCGGAGCUGAGCGAGUCUGCUCGGCGACCCCGGGGCGCGGGAGUCAUCUGGCCCAGAGUAGGCCUCGCUCUGCUCCUUUCAGCGUCCCGCUUCUGCCUCUUGGGGUCUCCUCCCUUCCCAACCGUCUUGGGUUUCCCGUUUCCCCUAUCAGUUUCUCCGACCGGGGCAGGGUGUUCGGCUCCGUGUCCCCUUUCCAGCUGCUCUUACUAAUCUGGCGGCCGGAGAUCGGAGAGCCUGGCUGACUUUGCUAGGGGCCCUGGAGAAGGGGAACUGAGCGACGGGGCGAACUCCCGGGACCGAACUUAAAAGACGCUGCGGGCACGAUGCGAUAACUCUGUCACUCCAUUCCACCAAAACUCAAGACAUCUCCCCACCCUCAGUCCCGCUCCCCACCGGGGACAAGGGGAGGGGUCUCAUCUGCAACGCUAGAGGCCACCCAGCUGCGCCCACCUCACCGCCCACGGCAGCUCCGCUUUCCCCCGCGCCCCGCCACCCCAUCUCCUGCCCCGCGUCCCAGCCAGCCCCCGGCCACAGCACAGUCCGCUCCAGAUCCGCGCCAGGUUUCCUUCGCAUCGCUGGGGUCUCCGCCCCUCCGAGCGCCGCCGCCGGAGCCGAGCCGGAGCGUAGCUGCGGGAGCCACGCGCACCUCCCGAAUCCCGAAGCACUAGGAGCCCGAGCCCGCGAGCGGGUCUGAGCGGCGGUGCUGACCCCGCCUUCUAUCAGAACUCCGAGUCGGGACCGGACGGCGCGGCCGGGUCCCCGCGCCUCAUCGGAAUUUGACCCUCGGAGCUCCGAGGUGACCCCUCUCUGCGCUGUCGGCCUCGAUCGGCUUCUCAGCAUCCCGGCCCUGGCCCUGGCUCGGGAGAGGAUCAUGAAGCUGGAAGCCAGCAGUGAUGGAGCCACCUCAGAGGUUUCUAAGCCCAAAAAAGACAUGGAGCCAGAUGCAGAGCCGCUUCCACAGCUGGCUCUAGGAUCCCAACCACAGAGCAGUGCCGGCCAAGUGCAACAGAGGAACAGGCUUUCGAAUCCGAGACCCGGGUGCUGAGGAGAGCUCCUUGGGCAGGUCACGGGUCUGGCCUGGCGCCCCGGGGGAAUGACAACGGAGUGCUCAGUGUGUGAGAAGAGGCGAGUCCUUUGAACGGAGAGCCCCGUCGGAGAGCAAACCCCCCCACACACAAUGGCCUCGGUCGCAGAUCGAGAGGGAGUCGGUACACCGGAUCGACGCUGGGGAGACGCCGCUGGCGGAGGGACUGCGCAGUGGCGUCCCCGGAGCGCUGCAAGAGGGUGGCCCGGCUGCUAGAGCCCUUCUGUUCGCAGCUGCCUCGCACCGUCGGCCCUCCCCAGGGACGCAGAUGGGAGCCCAUGCGUGUGACUGUGGAAGUGAAGAUGCCAAGAGGCGCCAGGCUCUCAGCUCUCCCACCGCCCAGAGCCGUGCUUGCUCGUGCCCCACGCAGGGCAUCCUUUUGGUCCAAUUCAACUCGUAGGCGCUGCUAGGCCUCCGGCGUCUUCUCGCAGCUGCCUGGGGAGGCCGUGUGGAAGGCUGGCAGCGACCUGGCACGCCUUCUGCUGUCGCCCUCCUUGCAGCGUGACAGAAGAAACCAUCCCAGGAGUGGCCGCCCUACUGGCCGAGUGAGAGUAACCUGCGCCUCCUGGCGGCCAAAGGCCUGAAGUGGCGCAUGGACAGCCGCGCGCAACCGCGCGGUGCUCACGCUGUGCAUGCGCCCUUUCCACAUCCCGCACCGCGGCGACAGCACGUGGCGCUACCUCCGCAUCGAUGCCUUCAGCAGCGACGGUGCGCAGAGGCAGAGCUAGCUUCUGUAGCAUCUGCAGCUCCAGAGCCCAUUUCAGUCUCAACGUCGUGUGCCAACUCUUCCCUGCGCCCCAGUUGUGGUCACAACUGGUGGCUGACUUCCACCAGGCUGGCUGGGGGCUUGCACUGGUCAAGGGUUAUACUGAACAGUACUUGCUGGAGGCCGACAACUAAGGCCUCUCCAGUCGAGUUGGAGAGGAGAGAAGAUGCACUUUAGACCCACCUCCUUCCGCGGAUCCCCGCCCCCACCAAGCCCUGGCCCUACUGCUUCAAGUUCCGCCCCUUACCCCUGCUCUUGGUCCUCAGUCUGUUGUUCAGUCGCUGUCAUGUCUGACUCUUUGCGACCCCAUGGACUGCAGCUCGCCAGGCUUCCCUGUCCAUCACCAUCUCCCCAAGCUUGCUCAUAUUCAUGUCCAUCCAUUGAGUCGGUUUUGCCAUCCAACCAUCACGUCCUCUGUCGUCCCCUUCUCCUCCCACCUUCAAUCUUCCCAGAAUCAGGGUCUUUUCCAAUGAGUCGCCCCUGUGCAUCAGGUGGCCAAAGUAUUGGAGCUUCAGCUUCAGCAUCAGUCUUUCCAAUGAACACCCAGGACUGAUCUCCUUUAGAAUGGACUGGUUGGAUCUCCUUGCAGUCCAAGGGACUCUCAAGAGUCUUCUCCGACACCACAGUUCAAAGCAUCAAUUCUUCCUUGCUCUGACGCCUACACUUACCCGCGGUCUGCUCCUCCCUUCCCUAUCCCCCUUACCUCUCUGCCAUCUGGACUCUAGCGCCCCCAAACGCAGUUGCCCACACCCUGAUCUGAACCGCCGAGUUUGGGGGAGCCACUUACUGCUAUUGUCCCCCCAUCCCCUUUCCCGGCCAAAGAAUGAGUUCCUUCACAGCUUCAGAGCCUUUCCCAGUCGAUGCCCCGGCCUAGGAAUGUACUUUGCCCUUUCCGGCUUCUCCCUUCUGCCCCCUCGUGGAGGGAAGCUGUCAGAAGUACGCGCGACGCCCCCGCGCCCAGCCGACAGCUCAAUUCAUACUGUUUUCUUCCUCCCCAUCUUUCUCAGGCCCUCAGAGCUUGCCUCGCGCUCCUGCCUCGCCUAGUCUUAGCCUCCUGUGCCUGGACCUCUCUUAGUUCUCCAUUUCUCAUUGCCGUUCCCCAUGAACCCUUCCUCACCCUCUGUGUGUAAUAUGGAGAAAGACUCUGUAAAGGAAAUAAAUUUAUAAUGCUCCACCUCCAUCUGGCCCCUGCUUAUGCUCUGGCGAUGCACCGUUUUGAGGCUGCCUCCCCUGACUGGGGUUUCCCCCAGCUUUGCAGGAUUUUGCUGGCUCCCUUCCCUAUGCCACCAACCGGGAGCCUGAACCAGGCCUGUGAAUCAGAGAGUUCCGGGU